GUCCUCUUCCGGGUUCUGGUGUUUAAACGAUUAUUCUUCCCGCCCAUCUGUAUAGUGCUCCAAUCAGCAAGCUGGUAUCAUCCUCUUAUGUCAUUUAAUCACCCGAGCGUCCUGCUGUAAUAAUUUUGGUGCCAGUUGCCGUUCAUACUCGCGAUAGGUCACUUCCGGGUUGUGUGUAUGUAUGUGAAUGUGUGUAUGUGAAUUUGUGUGUG
Pelobates cultripes (western spadefoot toad) is the source of this 212-nucleotide non-coding RNA. Lineage: Eukaryota; Metazoa; Chordata; Amphibia; Anura; Pelobatidae. The record is from the annotation of a GenBank genome assembly.